CCUACGGGAGGCAGCAGUGAGGAAUAUUGGGCACUGGGCGCAAGCCUGACCCAGCAAAGCCGCGUGAAGGAAGAAGGCUUUCGGGUUGUAAACUUCUUUUAUCAGGGACGAAGCAAGUGACGGUACCUGAUGAAUAAGCCACGGCUAACUACGUGCCAGCGGCCGCGGUAAUACGUAGGUGGCAAGCGUUAUCCGGAUUUCAUGGGUGUACAGGGCGGGUAGGGGGGAGUGCAAGUCAGAUGUGAAAACUAUGGGCUCAACCCAUAUCCUGCCGUUGAAACUGUACUUCUUGAGUGCUGGAGAGGCAAUCGGAAUGCCGGGUGUAGCGGUGAAAUGCGUAGAUAUACGGAGGAACACCAGUGGCGAAGGCGGAUUGCUGGACAGUAACUGACGCUGAGGCGCGAAAGCGUGGGGAGCAAACAGGAUUAGAUACCCCAGUAGUC
This 443-nucleotide ribosomal RNA is filed under the name uncultured bacterium. Its description in RNAcentral is "partial 16S ribosomal RNA". It matches the Rfam family "Bacterial small subunit ribosomal RNA", at positions 338 to 795 of the family's 1533-position model. The record is from RNAcentral.